Molecule: ribosomal RNA, 497 nt
Filed under: uncultured bacterium
Lineage: Bacteria
Description: partial 16S ribosomal RNA
Rfam family: Bacterial small subunit ribosomal RNA
Source: RNAcentral
GAUGAACGCUGGCGGCGUGCCUAAUACAUGCAAGUCGAGCGAACAGAUGAGGAGCUUGCUCCUCUGACGUUAGAGGCGGACGGGUGAGUAACACGUGGAUAACCUACCUAUAAGACUGGGAUAACUUCGGGAAACCGGAGCUAAUACCGGAUAAUAUAUUGAACCGCAUGGUUCAAUAGUGAAAGACGGUUUUGCUGUCACUUAUAGAUGGAUCCGCGCCGCAUUAGCUAGUUGGUAAGGUAACGGCUUACCAAGGCGACGAUGCGUAGCCGACCUGAGAGGGUGAUCGGCCACACUGGAACUGAGACACGGUCCAGACUCCUACGGGAGGCAGCAGUAGGGAAUCUUCCGCAAUGGGCGAAAGCCUGACGGAGCAACGCCGCGUGAGUGAUGAAGGUCUUCGGAUCGUAAAACUCUGUUAUUAGGGAAGAACAAAUGUGUAAGUAACUAUGCACGUCUUGACGGUACCUAAUCAGAAAGCCACGGCUAACUACGUG